This 468-nucleotide ribosomal RNA is filed under the name uncultured bacterium. RNAcentral describes it as "partial 16S ribosomal RNA". It matches the Rfam family "Bacterial small subunit ribosomal RNA", at positions 28 to 523 of the family's 1533-position model. The record is from RNAcentral.
GAUGAACGCUGGCGGCGUGCCUAACACAUGCAAGUCGAGCGAUUCUCCUCGGAGAAGAGCGGCGGACGGGUGAGUAACGCGUGGGUAACCUGCCCUGUACACACGGAUAACAUACCGAAAGGUAUGCUAAUACGAGAUAAUAUGCUUUUAUCGCAUGGUAGAAGUAUCAAAGCUCCGGCGGUACAGGAUGGACCCGCGUCUGAUUAGCUAGUUGGUAAGGUAACGGCUUACCAAGGCGACGAUCAGUAGCCGACCUGAGAGGGUGAUCGACCACAUUGGAACUGAGACACGGUCCAAACUCCUACGGGAGGCAGCAGUGGGGAAUAUUGCACAAUGGGCGAAAGCCUGAUGCAGCAACGCCGCGUGAGCGAUGAAGGCCUUCGGGUCGUAAAGCUCUGUCCUCAAGGAAGAUAAUGACGGUACUUGAGGAGGAAGCCCCGGCUAACUACGUGCCAGCCGCCGCCGUAA